UGGCCCCUACGGGACGCAGCAGUGAGGAAUAUUGGUCAAUGGUCGGGAGACUGAACCAGCCAAGCCGCGUGAGGGAUGAAGGUACAGAGUAUCGUAAACCUCUUUUGUCAGGGAACAAAGGCGGGGACGUGUCCCCGGAUGAGUGUACCUGAAGAAAAAGCAUCGGCUAACUCCGUGCCAGCAGCCGCGGUAAUACGGAGGAUGCGAGCGUUAUCCGGAUUUAUUGGGUUUAAAGGGUGCGUAGGCGGGCUGUUAAGUCAGCGGGAAAAAUUCGGGGCUCAACCCCGUCCGGCCGGUGAAACUGG
RNAcentral lists this ribosomal RNA (305 nucleotides) under uncultured bacterium. RNAcentral's name for it is "bacterial SSU rRNA". It matches the Rfam family "Bacterial small subunit ribosomal RNA", at positions 333 to 636 of the family's 1533-position model. The record is from RNAcentral.